Molecule: ribosomal RNA, 406 nt
Filed under: uncultured bacterium
Lineage: Bacteria
Description: partial 16S ribosomal RNA
Rfam family: Bacterial small subunit ribosomal RNA
Source: RNAcentral
AUUGAACGCUGGCGGCAGGCCUAACACAUGCAAGUCGAACGAGUGGCGGACGGGUGAGUAAUGUCUCGGAAACUGCCCAAUAGAGGGGGAUAACUACUGGAAACGAUAGCUAAUACCGCAUACCAUCGGAGGUGCACAGAUCGGAUGAGCUAGUGGGUUGGGUAACGGCUCACCUAGGCGACGAUCCGUAGCUGGUCUGAGAGGACGACCAGCAACACUGUAACUGAGACACGGUCCAUACCCCGACGGGAGGCAGCAGUGGGGAAUUUGGCAAAAUGGGGGCAAGCCUGAUGCAGCCAUGCCGCGUGUAUGACGAAGGCCUUCGGGUUGUAAAGUACUUUCAGCGGGGAAGCGUUACUCGCAGAAGAAGCACCGGCUAACUCCGUGCCAGCCGCCGCGGUAAUUC